This 348-nucleotide ribosomal RNA is filed under the name uncultured bacterium. RNAcentral's name for it is "partial 16S ribosomal RNA". It matches the Rfam family "Bacterial small subunit ribosomal RNA", at positions 355 to 695 of the family's 1533-position model. The record is from RNAcentral.
UGGGGAAUCUUCCGCAAUGGACGAAAGUCUGACGGAGCAACGCCGCGUGAGUGAAGAAGGUUUUCGGAUCGUAAAACUCUGUCUUUUGGGGCGAACGUGAGUAUGGUGAACAAUCAUAGUCAGUGACGGUACCAAAGGAGGAAGCCACGGCUAACUACGUGCCAGCAGCCGCGGUAAUACGUAGGUGGCAAGCGUUGUCCGGAAUUAUUGGGCGUAAAGAGCGCGUAGGCGGGAUAGUCAGUCUGUUGUAAAGUGCGGGGCUCCAACCCGUGAUGGCAAUGGAACAGCUAUUCUUGAGUGCAGGAGAGGAAAGUGGAAUUCCCAAGUGUAGCGGUGAAAUGCGUAGAU